GAUCCUGGCUCAGAACGAACGCUGGCGGCGUGCUUACACAUGCAAGUCGGAUGCGAACGGCGCUUUCGGGCGUUGAGUAGCAUGGCAGACGGGUGAGGAGCGCGUAUCUGACUGGACUCAGGCUGGGGGAUAGUCCCUCGAAAGGGGGUUGAAUACCGCAUGUGCUCGGUGCUGUGAGGGCAUCGAGGAAAGUUGGCCUCUGCGGGCACGCUGAUGGCCUGAGACAGGGAUGCGUCCUAUUAGCUAGCUGGUGGGGUAAGGGCCUACCAGGGCGACGAUGGGUAGCUGGUCUGAGAGGAUGAUCAGCCACACUGGGACUGCGACACGGCCCAGACUCCUACGGGAGGCAGCAGUGGGGAAUUUUGCGCAAUGGGCGCAAGCCUGACGCAGCAACGCCGCGUGCAUGACGACGCCUUUCGAGGUGUAAAGUGCUGUCGACCGGGACGAAGGGGCGAGGGUGAACAGCUUUCGCGCAUGACGGUACCGGUGGAGGAAGCCCCGGCUAACUCCGUGCCAGCAGCCGCGGUAAGACGGAGGGGGCGAGCGUUGUUCGGAAUUACUGGGCGUAAAGCGCGCGUAGGCGGUGCAGCAAGUGGUGCGUGAAAGCCCUCGGCUUAACCGGGGACGGGCGUGCCAAACUGUUGGACUGGAGUGCCGGAGGGGGAGGCGGAAUUCCUGGUGGAGCGGUGAAAUGCGUAGAGAUCAGGAAGAACGUCGGUGGCGAAGGCGGCCUCCUGGACGGACACUGACGCUGAGGUGCGACAGCGUGGGGAGCGAACGGGAUUAGAUACCCCGGUAGUCCACGCCGUAAACGAUGGGUACUAGGUGUGGGGCUUGUGAUGAGGCCCGUGCCGGAGCUAACGCAAGUAAGUACCCCGNCUGGGGAGUACGGUCGCAAGGCUGAAACUCAGAGGAAUUGACGGGGGCCCGCACAAGCGGUGGAGCAUGUGGUUUAAUUCGACG
RNAcentral lists this ribosomal RNA (963 nucleotides) under uncultured organism. RNAcentral's name for it is "bacterial SSU rRNA". It matches the Rfam family "Bacterial small subunit ribosomal RNA", at positions 15 to 956 of the family's 1533-position model. The record is from RNAcentral.